GCACAAGGUAGAGGUUGCACAGAUUAUGAGUAACCGGGCAGAUGCGGCAGACGCAGAUGAAGCCCGGCAAAAGGGAUUUGUGCCGAAGGGGUCAUUGCUGCGGAUGAUUCCCUGGGUGCAGCUUGAAGAAGGCUGUAACUGUCAUCUGAUAAGAUGGGGCGCUAUCAGUGAU
RNAcentral lists this non-coding RNA (172 nucleotides) under Shuttleworthella satelles. RNAcentral's name for it is "Shuttleworthia satelles Lysine sequence". It matches the Rfam family "Lysine riboswitch aptamer". Rfam says of the family: Riboswitches are metabolite binding domains within certain messenger RNAs that serve as precision sensors for their corresponding targets. Allosteric rearrangement of mRNA structure is mediated by ligand binding, and this results in modulation of gene expression. RNAcentral also lists the same sequence under 1 other name. Lineage: Bacteria; Bacillati; Bacillota; Clostridia; Lachnospirales; Lachnospiraceae. The record is from RNAcentral.